This 72-nucleotide transfer RNA is filed under the name Phrynosoma platyrhinos (Desert horned lizard). RNAcentral describes it as "tRNA-OTHER". The stretch from base 9 to 72 matches the Rfam family "tRNA". From Rfam's summary of the family: Transfer RNA (tRNA) molecules are approximately 80 nucleotides in length. The record is from RNAcentral. Lineage: Eukaryota; Metazoa; Chordata; Lepidosauria; Squamata; Phrynosomatidae.
GCCAGCAUGGUGUAGUGGUUUGAGCGUUGGACUGUGACUCUGGAGACCAGGGUUCGAUUCCCUGCAUUGCCA